GGUUGGCUCAGUGGUAGAGCACUUGCCUUGCAUGCAUGAGGCCCUGGGUUCAAUUCCUCAGCACCA
Molecule: non-coding RNA, 66 nt
Organism: Dipodomys ordii (Ord's kangaroo rat)
Lineage: Eukaryota; Metazoa; Chordata; Mammalia; Rodentia; Heteromyidae
Source: Rfam